This 564-nucleotide ribosomal RNA is filed under the name Streptomyces sp. 413D07. Its description in RNAcentral is "bacterial SSU rRNA". It matches the Rfam family "Bacterial small subunit ribosomal RNA", at positions 93 to 671 of the family's 1533-position model. Lineage: Bacteria; Bacillati; Actinomycetota; Actinomycetes; Kitasatosporales; Streptomycetaceae. The record is from RNAcentral. RNAcentral also lists the same sequence under 2 other names.
UAGUGGCGAACGGGUGAGUAACACGUGGGCAAUCUGCCCUUCACUCUGGGACAAGCCCUGGAAACGGGGUCUAAUACCGGAUAACACUCUUCCCUGCAUGGGGGAGGGUUGAAAGCUCCGGCGGUGGAGGAUGAGCCCGCGGCCUAUCAGCUUGUUGGUGGGGUGAUGGCCUACCAAGGCGACGACGGGUAGCCGGCCUGAGAGGGCGACCGGCCACACUGGGACUGAGACACGGCCCAGACUCCUACGGGAGGCAGCAGUGGGGAAUAUUGCACAAUGGGCGGAAGCCUGAUGCAGCGACGCCGCGUGAGGGAUGACGGCCUUCGGGUUGUAAACCUCUUUCAGCAGGGAAGAAGCGUGAGUGACGGUACCUGCAGAAGAAGCGCCGGCUAACUACGUGCCAGCAGCCGCGGUAAUACGUAGGGCGCAAGCGUUGUCCGGAAUUAUUGGGCGUAAAGAGCUCGUAGGCGGCUUGUCGCGUCGGAUGUGAAAGCCCGGGGCUCAACCCCGGGUCUGCAUUCGAUACGGGCAGGCUGGAGUGUGGUAGGGGAGAUCGGAAUUCCU